GGAUAGAAUAGAAUCUUAUGGUGAAGUUUCUCACAGAAUCAAAUGAGAGAGAUUAAAUCUGUGGCAAGACCAUUUCGUCCUCUCGUAUAGACCCCAGUUGAAGGCUGUUUCCCUCACCAGGUUUUGUCUCCGAGUCAAGAGAAAACUGAGCUCUGGAUUUUGUAAAAGCCCCUCUAUUAACCCACCCGCCGUGGUAACCUAAGGCCCUCUCAGCUAUAGCUCAGAAACACAUCGCCGAAUCGCUCAGUUCUAACUCUGCCAUUCUCAGACCCACGUAUUUCUCGGCUCGCCUGAAGUCCAGUGAGAACCGGCUCCCAGCCCCGUUGUGCUCGCUCCCGACAGACCUUCGGAAGAGCUGAGAUCUUCAAAGCCGACUAAGAGAAGCAGAUCAGAUGUCUGAAAAUGGAUGGGAACUGGCUGCCCAAAUCCGAUAGGCAGCUCUGUUAAUCCCAGCCCGAAUACAGAAUGACAUAUGUUCUUUAUAAAAGGAGAAUGAUUUUCUUCCCUAAAUACCAUGCGAUAUUCAAUGUCACCGUUUAGGGAAUUUCUUUUUCGCCCGGAACAUGUUAACAGCAGGACCUAUCUGGCCCUUACAAACACAUUUCGACUUUCAUACUUUUACAUGUUCAUAAUGAACAUCACAAAAAUUGACCUCACCUGACAACAAAAGUAGACUGCAGAGCUGUACUCCUAGACACAGCAUGCUGGCUACAGCUUCAAACUAACCUCGUGGUUACUCCGUGUCUGUAGCGAGCAAGAGAAUAUUUCUUCCGCUUCUGUUAAUUUGUUUGUUGUUUCCUUUAUUUAUUUUAAUGAUUGUGCACGAUGUAAAAAUGAGCCCUGCUUUUUCUGUAAGCCCCUCUUCAUUUCCUUCCCGCCUUGCGACGCUAAAGGUAUCGUACUGUACAUAUCAACAAAAUACAAAGUCAAAGGUUAAAUAUGCAGGUCUGGAGCGCCCUCUAGUAGAUAUUGACAGCAACCAAUAAAAACUAUUAGAGACCACCC
This is a long non-coding RNA of Mauremys reevesii (Reeves's turtle), 1005 nucleotides long. RefSeq lists it as uncharacterized. NCBI's taxonomy places the organism in Eukaryota, Metazoa, Chordata, Testudines, Geoemydidae. The transcript has 3 exons. The record is from RefSeq and is a predicted model, not a curated record.